AAUCAUGGGUAUUUUUGCUAAAGCUGUAGUAAGAGUUAAAACCCAAAAAGAAAAUGCUGAUUAAUUAUAUUCCCAAAAAUAAAAACACUGAGAACCAUGGAAAAAGUAGUCCUUACUUGUGUUUGCUCUAUGCAGUAGGAGCAUCACCAUCACCCAGGAGCUCAUGAAAAAUGCAUAACCUCAGGCACCAUUCCAGACCUUCUGAAUCAGAAUCUGCAUUUUAACAAGAUCCCCAGGUGCUGGGACUCUGGUGCCCCCAACCCUGGGCAUCCUCAGGCUUUGAGGAGAAUACACAGGAUUUGAAGUCAGAAGACCUAGGUUUGAGUUCUGGCUGAGCCACACACUGUUCAUGUGACCUUGGACAAAUCACCAAAUUUUUCUGAACAGCAUCUGUAAAGUGACAGUAACCCCUACCUCACAGGGUUGUUGUGAGGAUUACAUAUAUGCUAAAGCAUUUUGCAUAUGAAAAGC
Molecule: small RNA, 471 nt
Filed under: Pongo abelii (Sumatran orangutan)
Lineage: Eukaryota; Metazoa; Chordata; Mammalia; Primates; Hominidae
Description: processed transcript
Source: RNAcentral